CAGAGCUUAAGGAUACAGAAGCAAAGUAAUUCUACCAACCAGAAUAAAGUGCUUAAAGUAUGAAGAAGAUCCGAGCAGUACCAGUAGCUCAGAAGGUGGCUGCUGUGUCACUUUGGUCAGCAGGAUUGGAAGAGAGCCAUCAUCUGCUUCCUCAAUGGUCUGCCAGCCCCUGUGUUUGGAAAGGCAAAUCUGAAAGGAAGCUCUUGAGCACUCUACUGUGCGAGUUCCCCAACUGAUGGCUGUGUUUCUGCUCCUCAUUCUACACGUUUUCAAAUCAUUUUGAUGCUGGGAAUAAAUCUGAGUGCAUAACAAUCAUGUUCAGCAUAUGAUAACCAGAGACAAUUGUAUAUAUUCAAGCAGCCACAUGGAAAAUAAAUGAGCUGAUGGAAGGACAGAAAGAGCGCAAGAUGACCCAGAGACCACAGUUACCAUGUCCACAGUAAGACCAAAUAACUCUUCCAUUUCCAUAUAAUUACACUUUUU
Molecule: long non-coding RNA, 483 nt
Organism: Melopsittacus undulatus (budgerigar)
Lineage: Eukaryota; Metazoa; Chordata; Aves; Psittaciformes; Psittaculidae
Exons: 3
Source: RefSeq, a predicted model, not a curated record